GCAGUGGGGAAUUUUGGACAAUGGGCGAAAGCCUGAUCCAGCAAUGCCGCGUGUGUGAAGAAGGCCUUCGGGUUGUAAAGCACUUUUGUCCGGAAAGAAAUCCUUGGCUCUAAUACAGUCGGGGGAUGACGGUACCGGAAGAAUAAGCACCGGCUAACUACGUGCCAGCAGCCGCGGUAAUACGUAGGGUGCGAGCGUUAAUCGGAAUUACUGGGCGUAAAGCGUGCGCAGGCGGUUUGCUAAGACCGAUGUGAAAUCCCCGGGCUCAACCUGGGAACUGCAUUGGUGACUGGCAGGCUAGAGUAUGGCAGAGGGGGGUAGAAUUCCACGUGUAGCAGUGAAAUGCGUAGAGAUGUGGAGGAAUACCGAUGGCGAAGGCAGCCCCCUGGGCCAAUACUGACGCUCAUGCACGAAAGCGUGGGGAGCAAACAGGAUUAGAUACCCUGGUAGUCCUCGCCCUAAACGAUGUCAACUAGUUGUUGGGGAUUCAUUUCCUUAGUAACGUAGCUAACGCGUGAAGUUGACCGCCUGGGGAGUACGGUCGCAAGAUUAAAACUCAAAGGAAUUGACUGGGACCCGCACAAGCGGUGGAUGAUGUGGAUUAAUUCGAUGCAACGCGAAAAACCUUACCUACCCUUGACAUGGUCGGAAUCCCGCUGAGAGGUGGGAGUGCUCGAAAGAGAACCGGCGCACAGGUGCUGCAUGGCUGUCGUCAGCUCGUGUCGUGAGAUGUUGGGUUAAGUCCCGCAACGAGCGCAACCCUUGUCCUUAGUUGCUACGCAAGAGCACUCUAAGGAGACUGCCGGUGACAAACCGGAGGAAGGUGGGGAUGACGCCAAGUCCUCAUGGCCCUUAUGGGUAGGGCUUCACACGUCAUACAAUGGUCGGAACAGAGGGUUGCCAACCCGCGAGGGGGAGCUAAUCCCAGAAAACCGAUCGUAGUCCGGAUUGCACUCUGCAACUCGAGUGCAUGAAGCUGGAAUCGCUAGUAAUCGCGGAUCAGCAUGCCGCGGUGAAUACGUCCCAGGCCUUGUACACACCGC
Molecule: ribosomal RNA, 1043 nt
Filed under: uncultured Burkholderia sp.
Lineage: Bacteria; Pseudomonadati; Pseudomonadota; Betaproteobacteria; Burkholderiales; Burkholderiaceae
Description: bacterial SSU rRNA
Rfam family: Bacterial small subunit ribosomal RNA
Source: RNAcentral